GGUUGUGACUCAGAGGUAGAGCGCUCGCCUAGCAUGAGUGAGGCACUGGGUUCAAUCCUCAGCACCACCU
Molecule: transfer RNA, 70 nt
Filed under: Marmota monax (woodchuck)
Lineage: Eukaryota; Metazoa; Chordata; Mammalia; Rodentia; Sciuridae
Description: tRNA.Ala
Source: RNAcentral